RNAcentral lists this transfer RNA (85 nucleotides) under Felis catus (domestic cat). It matches the Rfam family "tRNA". From Rfam's summary of the family: Transfer RNA (tRNA) molecules are approximately 80 nucleotides in length. Their secondary structure includes four short double-helical elements and three loops (D, anti-codon, and T loops). Lineage: Eukaryota; Metazoa; Chordata; Mammalia; Carnivora; Felidae. The record is from Rfam by way of RNAcentral.
ACCUGAGUGGCUCAGUCGGUUGAGCGUCCGACUUCAGCUCAGAUCACGAUCUCACAGUUUGUGGGUUAGAGCCCCACAUCAGGCU